This 449-nucleotide ribosomal RNA is filed under the name uncultured bacterium. Its description in RNAcentral is "bacterial SSU rRNA". It matches the Rfam family "Bacterial small subunit ribosomal RNA", at positions 331 to 794 of the family's 1533-position model. The record is from RNAcentral.
CAAGACUCCUACGGGAGGCAGCAGUGGGGAAUAUUGGGCAAUGGAGGCAACUCUGACCCAGCAACGCCGCGUGAAUGAUGAAGGUCUUCGGAUUGUAAAGUUCUUUUCUAAGGGAAGAAGAAAGUGACGGUACCUUAGGAAUAAGCCUCGGCUAACUACGUGCCAGCAGCCGCGGUAAUACGUAGGGGGCAAGCGUUAUCCGGAUUUACUGGGUGUAAAGGGAGCGUAGGCGGUGCAGCAAGUCAGAAGUGAAAGCCCGGGGCUCAACUCCGGGACUGCUUUUGAAACUGUUGAACUAGAUUGCAGGAGAGGUAAGUGGAAUUCCUAGUGUAGCGGUGAAAUGCGUAGAUAUUAGGAGGAACACCAGUGGCGAAGGCGGCUUACUGGACUGUAAAUGACGCUGAGGCUCGAAAGCGUGGGGAGCAAACAGGAUUAGAUACCCCGGUAGG